This 996-nucleotide long non-coding RNA is filed under the name Astyanax mexicanus (Mexican tetra). RNAcentral describes it as "lncRNA (ENSAMXG00005018668.1)". The record is from RNAcentral. Lineage: Eukaryota; Metazoa; Chordata; Actinopteri; Characiformes; Acestrorhamphidae.
GCAGAAUUAUAGAUAAUUAUUGUUGGAAAGACCGUUCCUAUAGGUCUACCUAAUCUGGGAGGGGCCUCAAGUGCUGAGUCACAGUUCAAUGGAGUUAGUUUGGCCAGGGAGAGAGGAGUACAAGCUGUGUGGGUCUGUUCCUCCAUGUUUACCCCCUUUGUGUGCGAAGUAUGCGUCCUUGACUUGAACACUGGAGCAGCUCGACAGACCUAACAGCAGAUAGAAAGUGAAAGGAAGAUUGAGAAAAAAUACCUGGGACCUUUGUUCACCUGAAACUUUCAGCUACAAGCCCUUAUCUACAAAUUAUAAUCCAUCUGACUUCAAUCCACCCAGAAGAACAAGAAGCAUUGAGAACGUCUUACACUAUCCAUUUGGCUUUAAUCCAAUCAGAAGAACAAGAAGCGUUGGCUCCUCAUAUCGUAAGUCACUAUUCAUUAUUCAGCUUGACUGAUGUAGCAUUGUUAGUAUUAACAGCAUUAGCAUUGUGUGUAUUGGAACUACACAAAAAAUUAAGGAAGAAAAACAGUGGCACCUCAACAGUGUUUCAGCCGCACCAAAAACAGAAUUGCAGCGCCCUCCCAGGGCACAUCAACUGCAUAGCAGCGUCCUCUCAGCACUGGCACCUCAACAGCACCUUAACUAGGGUGACCAAACGUCCGUAUUUUAUGUCCUGUCCCGUCACGGGUUUUUUUUUCAGAAAGUGAGGAAAUGUUCUGUUUUUUAAAUUACCUUCAUUGGACCAGAGAGCAGUAGACAGCUUGACUGUCAGCGUGGAACCCUCCCUCCCCCCCUUCCGGUGUAGUCUCACAGUAAGAGCACACACAACGCUCCACCCCUCAACCGGCUACAGUACCACAACAGUGUAGCAGCCACACCGGCUACAGUACCACCUCAACAGUGUAGCAGCCACACCGGCUACAGUACCACCUCAACAGUGUAGCAGCCACACCGGCUACAGUACCACCACAACAGUGUAGCAGCCACACCGGCUACAGU